This 467-nucleotide ribosomal RNA is filed under the name uncultured bacterium. RNAcentral's name for it is "partial 16S ribosomal RNA". It matches the Rfam family "Bacterial small subunit ribosomal RNA", at positions 28 to 507 of the family's 1533-position model. The record is from RNAcentral.
GAUGAACGCUGGCGGCGUGCUUAACACAUGCAAGUCGAACGAUGAAGCCCAGCUUGCUGGGUGGAUUAGUGGCGAACGGGUGAGUAACACGUGAGCAACCUGCCCCUGACUCUGGGAUAAGCGCUGGAAACGGCGUCUAAUACUGGAUAUGUCCCGUCACCGCAUGGUGUGCGGGUGGAAAGAUUUUUCGGUUGGGGAUGGGCUCGCGGCCUAUCAGCUUGUUGGUGAGGUAAUGGCUCACCAAGGCGUCGACGGGGAGCCGGCCUGAGAGGGUGACCGGCCACACUGGGACUGAGAAACGGCCCAGACUCCUACGGGAGGCAGCAGUGGGGAAUAUUGCACAAUGGGCGGAAGCCUGAUGCAGCAACGCCGCGUGAGGGAUGACGGCCUUCGGGUUGUAAACCUCUUUUGGCAGGGAAGAAGCGAAAGUGACGGUACCUGCAGAAAAAGCACCGGCUAACUACGUG